Non-coding RNA from Macrostomum lignano, 114 nucleotides. NCBI's taxonomy places the organism in Eukaryota, Metazoa, Platyhelminthes, Macrostomidae. The record is from Rfam.
GUGGGCUACGGCGACAAGGUGCCGAAGGGCCCGCUGGGCAAGAUCGUCGGCUCCGUGUGCGCCGUGGCGGGCGUGCUGACCCUGGCGAUCCCCGUGCCGAUCAUCACGGAGAAC